Molecule: ribosomal RNA, 405 nt
Filed under: uncultured bacterium
Lineage: Bacteria
Description: partial 16S ribosomal RNA
Rfam family: Bacterial small subunit ribosomal RNA
Source: RNAcentral
AUUGAACGCUGGCGGCAGGCUUAACACAUGCAAGUCGAGCGAGCGGCGGACGGGUGAGUAAUGUCUGGGAAACUGCCUGAUGGAGGGGGAUAACUACUGGAAACGGUAGCUAAUACCGCAUACCAUCAGAUGUGCCCAGAUGGGAUUAGCUAGUAGGUGGGGUAAUGGCUCACCUAGGCGACGAUCCCUAGCUGGUCUGAGAGGAUGACCAGCCACACGGGAACGUGGACACGGGCCAAAACCCGAAGGGGGGCAGCAGGGGGGAAUAUUGCACAAUGGGCGGAAGGCUGAUGCAGCCAUGCCGCGUGUGUGAAGAAGGCCUUCGGGUUGUAAAGCACUUUCAGCGAGGAGGCGUUACUCGCAGAAGAAGCACCGGCUAACUCCGUGCCAGCAGCCGCGGUAUUC